RNAcentral lists this ribosomal RNA (523 nucleotides) under uncultured Zoogloea sp. RNAcentral's name for it is "bacterial SSU rRNA". It matches the Rfam family "Bacterial small subunit ribosomal RNA", at positions 8 to 526 of the family's 1533-position model. The record is from RNAcentral. Lineage: Bacteria; Pseudomonadati; Pseudomonadota; Betaproteobacteria; Rhodocyclales; Zoogloeaceae.
AGAGUUUGAUCCUGGCUCAGAUUGAACGCUGGCGGCAUGCCUUACACAUGCAAGUCGAACGGCAGCGCGAGGCAACCUGGCGGCGAGUGGCGAACGGGUGAGUAAUAUAUCGGAACGUACCCUGGAGUGGGGGAUAACGUAGCGAAAGUUACGCUAAUACCGCAUACGAUCUAAGGAUGAAAGUGGGGGAUCCGCAAGGACCUCAUGCUCGUGGAGCGGCCGAUAUCUGAUUAGCUAGUUGGCGGGGUAAAAGCCCACCAAGGCAUCGAUCAGUAGCUGGUCUGAGAGGACGACCAGCCACACUGGAACUGAGACACGGUCCAGACUCCUACGGGAGGCAGCAGUGGGGAAUUUUGGACAAUGGGCGAAAGCCUGAUCCAGCAAUGCCGCGUGAGUGAAGAAGGCCUUCGGGUUGUAAAGCUCUUUUGUCAGGGAAGAAACGGUGUUUUCUAAUACAGAAUGCUAAUGACGGUACCUGAAGAAUAAGCACCGGCUAACUACGUGCCAGCAGCCGCGGUAAUAC